This 489-nucleotide ribosomal RNA is filed under the name uncultured bacterium. Its description in RNAcentral is "partial 16S ribosomal RNA". It matches the Rfam family "Bacterial small subunit ribosomal RNA", at positions 30 to 507 of the family's 1533-position model. The record is from RNAcentral.
UUGCACGCUGGCGGCAGGCCUAACCCAUGCAAGUCGCACGGUAACAGGAAGCAGCUUGCUGCUUUGCUGACGCGUGGCGGACGGGUGAGUAAUGUCUGGGAAACUGCCCGAUGGAGGGGGAUAACUACUGGAAACGGUAGCUAAUACCGCAUAACGUCGCAAGACCAAAGAGGGGGACCUUAGGGCCUCUUGCCAUCGGAUGUGCCCAGAUGGGAUUAGCUAGUAGGUGGGGUAACGGCUCACCUAGGCGACGAUCCCUAGCUGGUCUGAGAGGAUGACCAGCCACACUGGAACUGAGACACGGUCCAGACUCCUACGGGAGGCAGCAGUGGGGAAUAUUGCACAAUGGGCGCAAGCCUGAUGCAGCCAUGCCGCGUGUAUGAAGAAGGCCUUCGGGUUGUAAAGUACUUUCAGCGGGGAGGAAGGGAGUAAAGUUAAUACCUUUGCUCAUUGACGUUACCCGCAGAAGAAGCACCGGCUAACUCCGUG